Molecule: ribosomal RNA, 1355 nt
Filed under: uncultured bacterium
Lineage: Bacteria
Description: bacterial SSU rRNA
Rfam family: Bacterial small subunit ribosomal RNA
Source: RNAcentral
AUUGAACGCUGGCGGCAGGCUUAACACAUGCAAGUCGAACGAUGAUUAUCUAGCUUGCUAGAUAUGAUUAGUGGCGGACGGGUGAGUAACAUUUAGGAAUCUGCCUAGUAGUGGGGGAUAGCUCGGGGAAACUCGAAUUAAUACCGCAUACGACCUACGGGUGAAAGGGGGCGCAAGCUCUUGCUAUUAGAUGAGCCUAAAUCAGAUUAGCUAGUUGGUGGGGUAAAGGCCCACCAAGGCGACGAUCUGUAACUGGUCUGAGAGGAUGAUCAGUCACACCGGAACUGAGACACGGUCCGGACUCCUACGGGAGGCAGCAGUGGGGAAUAUUGGACAAUGGGGGCAACCCUGAUCCAGCCAUGCCGCGUGUGUGAAGAAGGCCUUUUGGUUGUAAAGCACUUUAAGCAGGGAGGAGAGGCUAAUGGUUAAUACCCAUUAGAUUAGACGUUACCUGCAGAAUAAGCACCGGCUAACUCUGUGCCAGCAGCCGCGGUAAUACAGAGGGUGCGAGCGUUAAUCGGAAUUACUGGGCGUAAAGCGAGUGUAGGUGGCUCAUUAAGUCACAUGUGAAAUCCCCGGGCUUAACCUGGGAACUGCAUGUGAUACUGGUGGUGCUAGAAUAUGUGAGAGGGAAGUAGAAUUCCAGGUGUAGCGGUGAAAUGCGUAGAGAUCUGGAGGAAUACCGAUGGCGAAGGCAGCUUCCUGGCAUAAUAUUGACACUGAGAUUCGAAAGCGUGGGUAGCAAACAGGAUUAGAUACCCUGGUAGUCCACGCCGUAAACGAUGUCUACUAGCCGUUGGGGUCCUUGAGACUUUAGUGGCGCAGUUAACGCGAUAAGUAGACCGCCUGGGGAGUACGGCCGCAAGGUUAAAACUCAAAUGAAUUGGCGGGGGCCCGCACAAGCGGUGGAGCAUGUGGUUUAAUUCGAUGCAACGCGAAGAACCUUACCUGGUCUUGACAUAGUGAGAAUCCUGUAGAGAUGCGGGAGUGCCUUCAGGAAUUCACAUACAGGUGCUGCAUGGCUGUCGUCAGCUCGUGUCGUGAGAUGUUGGGUUAAGUCCCGCAACGAGCGCAACCCUUUUCCUUAUUUGCCAGCGGGUUAAGCCGGGAACUUUAAGGAUACUGCCAGUGACAAACUGGAGGAAGGCGGGGACGACGUCAAGUCAUCAUGGCCCUUACGACCAGGGCUACACACGUGCUACAAUGGUAGGUACAGAGGGUUGCUACACAGCGAUGUGAUGCUAAUCUCAAAAAGCCUAUCGUAGUCCGGAUUGGAGUCUGCAACUCGACUCCAUGAAGUCGGAAUCGCUAGUAAUCGCAGAUCAGAAUGCUGCGGUGAAUACGUUCCCGGGCCU